AGAGUUUGAUCCUGGCUCAGAUUGAACGCUGGCGGUAUGCUUAACACAUGCAAGUCGAACGGAAACGAUGGUAGCUUGCUACCAGGCGUCGAGUGGCGGACGGGUGAGUAACGCGUAGGAAUAUGCCCAGUAGUGGGGGACAACUCGGGGAAACUCGAGCUAAUACCGCAUACGCUCUACGGAGGAAAGUGGGGGAUCUUCGGACCUCACGCUGUUAGAGGAGCCUGCGUUGGAUUAGCUAGUUGGUGAGGUAAAGGCUCACCAAGGCGACGAUCUAUAGCUGGUCUGAGAGGACGAUCAGCCACACUGGAACUGAGACACGGUCCAGACUCCUACGGGAGGCAGCAGUGGGGAAUCUUGGGCAAUGGGCGAAAGCCUGACCCAGCCAUGCCGCGUGUGUGAAGAAGGCCUUCGGGUUGUAAAGCACUUUCAGUAGCGAAGAAAAGCCUAGGGGUAAUAUCCCUGGGUCUUGACGUUAACUACAGAAGAAGCACCGGCUAACUCCGUGCCAGCAGCCGCGGUAAUACGGAGGGUGUAAGCGUUAAUCGGAAUUACUGGGCGUAAAGCGCUCGCAGGCGGUUUGUUAAGUCGGAUGUGAAAGCCCCGGGCUCAACCUGGGAACUGCAUUCGAUACUGGCAAACUAGAGUAUAGUAGAGGCAAGUGGAAUUCCGGGUGUAGCGGUGAAAUGCGUAGAUAUCCGGAGGAACAUCAGUGGCGAAGGCGACUUGCUGGACUAAUACUGACGCUGAGGAGCGAAAGCGUGGGGAGCAAACGGGAUUAGAUACCCCGGUAGUCCACGCCGUAAACGAUGUCAACUAGCCGUUGGGGAUCUUAGUAUCUUUAGUGGCGCAGCUAACGCAUUAAGUUGACCGCCUGGGGAGUACGGUCGCAAGACUAAAACUCAAAGGAAUUGACGGGGGCCCGCACAAGCGGUGGAGCAUGUGGUUUAAUUCGAUGCAACGCGAAGAACCUUACCUACCCUUGACAUCAUCAGAACUUGUUAGAGAUAACUCGGUGCCUUCGGGAACUGAAUGACAGGUGCUGCAUGGCUGUCGUCAGCUCGUGUCGUGAGAUGUUGGGUUAAGUCCCGUAACGAGCGCAACCCUUGUCCUUAGUUGCCAGCGCGUAAUGGCGGGGACUCUAGGGACUGCCGGUGACAAAACGGAGGAAGGUGGGGACGACGUCAAGUCAUCAUGGCCCUUACGACCUGGGCUACACACGUGCUACAAUGGGCGGUACAGAGGGUUGCGACCCAGCGAUGGUGAGCUAAUCCCUUAAAACCGUUCGUAGUCCGGAUUGGAGUCUGCAACUCGACUCCAUGAAGCCGGAAUCGCUAGUAAUCGCGAAUCAGCAUGUCGCGGUGAAUACGUUCCCGGGCCUUGUACACACCGCCCGUCACACCAUGGGAGUGGGUUGUACCAGAAGUAGGUAGUCUAACCGCAAGGAGGACGCUUACCACGGUAUGGUUCAUGACUGGGGUGAAGUCGGAACAAGGUA
Molecule: ribosomal RNA, 1498 nt
Filed under: uncultured prokaryote
Description: partial 16S ribosomal RNA
Rfam family: Bacterial small subunit ribosomal RNA
Source: RNAcentral